CCAUGCGAGUCGAGAGGGUUCGGCCCUCGGCUGACGGCUCAGUAACACGUGGAUAAUCUACCCUAAGGUGGAGGAUAACCUCGGGAAACUGAGAAUAAUACUCCAUAAGUCUAAGAUGCUGGAAUGCACUUAGGCUGAAAACUUCGGUGCCUUAGGAUGAGUCUGCGGACUAUCAGGUUGUAGUCAGGGUAAAGACCUGAUUAGCCUACGACGGAUACGGGUUGUGAGAGCAAUAACCCGGAGAUGAUAUCUGAGACACGAUAUCAGGCCCUACGGGGCGCAGCAGGCGCGAAAACUUCGCACUACGCGAAAGCGCGACGAGGGGAUCCCAAGUGUAUGCACGUAAGUGUAUACUGUUUCUCUGUCUAAAAAGCAGGGAGAGUAAGAGCUGGGUAAGACGGGUGCCAGCCGCCGCGGUAAUACCUGCAGCUCAAGUGGUGAUCGUUAUUAUUGGGCCUAAAACGUCCGUAGCCGGUCUGUAAAUGCCUGGGUAAAUCGUAUGGCUUAUCCAUACAAUUCUGGGUAAACUGUUAACUCAAACGGAAAGCUAAGUACUCCUGGGGUAAAGUGA
RNAcentral lists this ribosomal RNA (571 nucleotides) under uncultured archaeon. RNAcentral's name for it is "bacterial SSU rRNA". It matches the Rfam family "Archaeal small subunit ribosomal RNA", at positions 49 to 635 of the family's 1478-position model. The record is from RNAcentral.